This 499-nucleotide ribosomal RNA is filed under the name uncultured bacterium. RNAcentral's name for it is "partial 16S ribosomal RNA". It matches the Rfam family "Bacterial small subunit ribosomal RNA", at positions 28 to 507 of the family's 1533-position model. The record is from RNAcentral.
GACGAACGCUGGCGGCGUGCCUAAUACAUGCAAGUCGAGCGGACUUUCAAGAAGCUUGCUUUUUGAAAGUUAGCGGCGGACGGGUGAGUAACACGUGGGCAACCUGCCUGCAAGACGGGGAUAACUCCGGGAAACCGGGGCUAAUACCGGAUAAUAUCUUCCUUCGCAUGAAGGAAGGUUGAAAGGCGGCGCAAGCUGCCGCUUGCAGAUGGGCCCGCGGCGCAUUAGCUAGUUGGUGAGGUAACGGCUCACCAAGGCGACGAUGCGUAGCCGACCUGAGAGGGUGAGCGGCCACACUGGGACUGAGACACGGCCCAGACUCCUACGGGAGGCAGCAGUAGGGAAUCUUCCGCAAUGGACGAAAGUCUGACGGAGCAACGCCGCGUGAGCGAAGAAGGUCUUCGGAUCGGAAAGCUCGGUUGUCAGGGAAGAACAAGUACCGUUCGAACAGGGCGGUACCUUGACGGUACCUGACCAGAAAGCCACGGCUAACUACGUG